GCCUUCGUGGUGUAGUGGUCAGCAUGCUCGAUACUUAACCGAGAGAUCCGUGGUUCGAUUCCCGGCGAAGGCG
Molecule: transfer RNA, 73 nt
Filed under: Stegodyphus mimosarum
Lineage: Eukaryota; Metazoa; Arthropoda; Arachnida; Araneae; Eresidae
Rfam family: tRNA
About the family: Transfer RNA (tRNA) molecules are approximately 80 nucleotides in length. Their secondary structure includes four short double-helical elements and three loops (D, anti-codon, and T loops).
Source: Rfam by way of RNAcentral